GGCCGGUUGGCCCAAUGGUAAGGCGUCUGACUACGAAUCAGGAGAUUCUGGGUUCGAGCCCCAGGCUGGUCA
Molecule: transfer RNA, 72 nt
Filed under: Mycosarcoma maydis (corn smut)
Lineage: Eukaryota; Fungi; Basidiomycota; Ustilaginomycetes; Ustilaginales
Also listed under: 9 other names
Description: tRNA-Arg (ACG) (tRNA-Arg-ACG-1 1 to 4)
Rfam family: tRNA
About the family: Transfer RNA (tRNA) molecules are approximately 80 nucleotides in length. Their secondary structure includes four short double-helical elements and three loops (D, anti-codon, and T loops). Further hydrogen bonds mediate the characteristic L-shaped molecular structure. tRNAs have two regions of fundamental functional importance: the anti-codon, which is responsible for specific mRNA codon recognition, and the 3' end, to which the tRNAs corresponding amino acid is attached (by aminoacyl-tRNA synthetases). tRNAs cope with the degeneracy of the genetic code in two manners: having more than one tRNA (with a specific anti-codon) for a particular amino acid; and 'wobble' base-pairing, i.e. permitting non-standard base-pairing at the 3rd anti-codon position.
Source: RNAcentral